GGUAUGUUUAAUGUUAAAGA
RNAcentral lists this microRNA (20 nucleotides) under Corchorus olitorius. Its description in RNAcentral is "cin-miR-4009b-". The record is from RNAcentral. Lineage: Eukaryota; Viridiplantae; Streptophyta; Magnoliopsida; Malvales; Malvaceae.